CGCUGCUAUCUUCCAAGGCGGCGCCGCCCGGUCCAAGCGGCGAGGAGGACGACGGGGCUCUGGUGCUGGCGGAGGCUCUGC
This 81-nucleotide non-coding RNA is filed under the name uncultured eukaryote. The record is from RNAcentral.